GACGAACGCUGGCGGCGUGCCUAAUACAUGCAAGUUGAGCGCUGAAGGUUGGUACUUGUACCAACUGGAUGAGCAGCGAACGGGUGAGUAACGCGUGGGGAAUCUGCCUUUGAGCGGGGGACAACAUUUGGAAACGAAUGCUAAUACCGCAUAAAAACUUUAAACACAAGUUUUAAGUUUGAAAGAUGCAAUUGCAUCACUCAAAGAUGAUCCCGCGUUGUAUUAGCUAGUUGGUGAGGUAAAGGCUCACCAAGGCGAUGAUACAUAGCCGACCUGAGAGGGUGAUCGGCCACGUUGGGACUGAGACACGGCCCAAACUCCUACGGGAGGCAGCAGUAGGGAAUCUUCGGCAAUGGACGAAAGUCUGACCGAGCAACGCCGCGUGAGUGAAGAAGGUUUUCGGAUCGUAAAACUCUGUUGGUAGAGAAGAACGUUGGUGAGAGUGGAAAGCUCAUCAAGUGACGGUAACUACCCAGAAAGGGACGGCUAACUACGUG
Molecule: ribosomal RNA, 497 nt
Filed under: uncultured bacterium
Lineage: Bacteria
Description: partial 16S ribosomal RNA
Rfam family: Bacterial small subunit ribosomal RNA
Source: RNAcentral